Triticum dicoccoides is the source of this 642-nucleotide RNA transcript. It is a transcript of the gene named 2-oxoglutarate dehydrogenase E1 component-like, with no coding region annotated. The transcript is spliced from 3 exons. The record is from RefSeq and is a predicted model, not a curated record. Lineage: Eukaryota; Viridiplantae; Streptophyta; Magnoliopsida; Poales; Poaceae.
GGAUUUGAAUUGGGCUACUCCAUGGAGAAACCGAAUUCGCCAGUAUUCUGGGAAGCUCAGUUUGGUGAUUUCUCCAAUGGUGCACAAGUGAUAUUCGACCAGUUUCUGAGUAGUGUAGCGGCCAAAUGGCUCCGCCAAACUGGCCUUGUUGGUCUACUGUCUCAUCGUUAUGAUGGCAAGGUCCUGAACACUCCAUCUCCCAUCUUGAGCGCUUCCUUCAGAAGGACCAGACAGAGAAGGUGAAGAAAAAGGAAAAGCCCCUACUGUUCAUUUUUCCAUUGAGUUGAUUUCCUCGCUGUCCAUCAUCAUGGUUUCAGUUUAUCGAUUCUUGGCAUUGACAGUCUGGUUCCGUCGAGAUCGAUAAUGAAGAUGUCAAUGCCCAUGGAAGUGGCAAGCAGAUCACCAGGCAGAAGUUGAGGCGAUCAUUAGUUACCAGUAGUCGUAAUGAAGAAGCCAAGGCCAUGCAGCUGUUAGUGAUGGGCCCUGUGAGGAUGCCCACCAAGGUGCUCAACAUCAGCACCAGGAAGUCCCCCCCUGUGGCGCAAGGUGACCUCUCCCGCCUCUCUGCUCGAUCCCAUUUACUUGGUUGAUCCCUGCCAAUAUUGUGUGGUAUAUACUUGGUGAAUUUGUCAUCCCAUCAGU